UGAUUAACCAGGGGAAGGAGAAGGAGAAGGAGCAGACAGGUCCCUCUCACUUUCACGAUGCGGGGCAUGCAGGAGAGUAUGUGGGUCCUACCUCUGGUUCUACUGGGGCUGUUAAAGCCCUGGGCUGCAGGCUACUCACUCAGUCAGGUGUGUGUGUGUGUUGAUCAUCAGGUGUGUGACCCAUCUCAAGAUGGCACGAUCUAUAACUACAAAGCUAAGACCCUGAAUGGGAGUCGUUCAGUCUCCCUCAGUGAGUACAUGGGGAAGACCGUCCUCUUCGUCAACGUAGCCACUUACUGAGGACUCACCUUCCAGUACCUGGAGUUGAAUGCACUACACGAGGAGAUGAAGGAUUAUGGGUUUACCAUUCUCGGGUUCCCCUCCAAUCAGUUUGGAAAACAGGAGCCAGGAGAAAAUCAUGAGAUUCUGGCCACUCUAAAGCAUGUCCGACCAGGAAAUGGAUUUGUUCCAAACUUCCUGCUAUUCCAGAGGGGGGAUGUGAACGGAGACACAGAACAAGGAGUCUACACUUUCCUUAAAAACUCCUGCCCGCCAGUAGGGGACAGCUUUGAGAACCCCACCAACAGGCUGUUCUGGGAGCCCCUGAAGAUCAACGACAUCAAGUGGAACUUUGAGAAGUUCCUGGUCGGACCGGAUGGGAAGCCCGUGAUGAGGUGGUUCCCCCGGGUCCCAGUGUCUGAGGUUCGGGAGGACAUCCUCAAAUACUUCCGUCAACUCUUCUCCCAGUCCACCCAGCAGAACAUUGACUAAGAUUUUAUGUGCCUGUAGAUUUUAAAUUCCUGUAUUGAAAUUCAGCCUACAGAUUUAUUAGAUUCACCUUUUUAGAUACAUGAAAACACAGUGGACUGGUGUCCAGGGUCCAGAUUACACCGCUUUCUGGACUAAAAAGCACUUUCGAUGGAAAUUCUUCAAUGAGUAUGCUGUCAUUUCAUUCCAAGAGUAGGCUUAAUCUGGAUCAAGUGUAGAAUAGAACAUCAUUCAACUGAUUUGUAGAAGAAACUGUCAAUCAAUUCAAAUGAACGGCUGGCUGUGGUGGUAGUGGGUAAUGGGUCGCUGGUCAUAAAGGUGGCAUGUUGUAUGAAGGUGAGGCUUGAAAACAGCGCGUCUGUGGUGCCAAACCUGAGUUCUAGGGUCCAGGCCAGUCCUUCAGUGCAUUCAGGCUGGGCCUGGUAACCCUAGGAGCCAUGUUACCUCCUGGUCCUGCCACCCAGUGCUGCUGCCUGACUAAUUCAUGUCAAUAAAUCACGUCAGUAUAA
Molecule: RNA transcript, 1277 nt
Organism: Oncorhynchus gorbuscha (pink salmon)
Lineage: Eukaryota; Metazoa; Chordata; Actinopteri; Salmoniformes; Salmonidae
Gene name: glutathione peroxidase 3-like
Exons: 5
Source: RefSeq, a predicted model, not a curated record